AAUCGUCAAGAUUGUCCUGAGAGUCGCAUGCAGUAGACCCGAAACCUGGUGAGCUACCCAUGGGCAGGAUGAAGUGCCGGUAACACGGCAUGGAGGACCGAACGCACAAAUGUUGCAAAAUUUGGCGAUGACCUGUGGGUAGGUGGUGAAAUGCCUAACGAACUGGGAGAUAGCUGGUUCUCCUCGAAAUAGCUCUAGGGCUAGCCUCACGACAAGACCGCAAGGUCGGAUAAAUCAACGCAGGUAAAGCACUGGCAUGGCUAGGGCGCGGUAAGCGUACCAACCCAUCUCAAACUCUGAAUGGCGUUGAGGAGCGUGGGAGUCGCACAGUGGGGGAUGAGCUUCAUUGUGGAAAGGGAAACAGCCCAGACCGUCAGUUAAGGUCCUUGAGUCGACGCUAAGUGGGAAACGAUGUGAGAAUACUUUGACAGCCAGGAGGUUGGCUUAGAAGCAGCCACCCUUUAAAGAGUGCGUAAUAGCUCACUGGUCAAGUGUUCUUGUGCGGAAAAUAUAACGGGGCUAAAGCGUCGCACCGAAACUGCGGAGUCAGACAUCUGAAAGAGGGUGUUGGCUGGUAGAGGAGCGUUGUUGAGCAGAGAAGGUCGACGGUGACGACGACUGGAGCGACAACAAGAGCGAAUGCUGGGAUGAGUAGCGAGAGCAGUGUGAAAAUCACUGCCGCCGUAAGUCUGAGGGUUCCGCCGCAAGGGUCAUCCGCGGCGGGUUAGUCGGGCCUAAGCCGAGGGCGAAAGCCGUAGGUGAUGGACAAUCGGUCAACAUUCCGAUACCAUCUCCAAGGACUGAGGGAGAGACGCAGAAGGAUAGCCGAGCCUGCCGAAUGGACAUGGCAGGUGCAAAGCGCCAAGAUGUGGAGGACUAUAGGCAAAUCCGUAGUCCGAGUCAAGGUGUAAGCGGUUCCGCAAGGACACAAGUCGGUGAGUUCAGGCUGACGAGAAAAUCUUCUAAAGGGUGAAUUGGAGAUGCCCGUACCGCAAACCGACACAGGUGGACGGCAUGAGCAAUGCAAGGCGAUCGGGAGAACCUCCGUUAAGGAACUAGGCAAAAUGCAUCCGUAACUUCGGGAGAAGGAUGGAUUUCUGUCGUUACAAGUAAUUGGAAGCGAUGGGAAUUCGCAGCGAAGCGGCUCUACUGACUGUUUAACAAAAACACAGGUCUCUGCAAAACCGUAAGGUGAAGUAUAGGGGCUGAUACCUGCCCAGUGCCGGAAGGUUAAGAGGAGGGGUUAGGGGAAUGGCAACAUUACCCGAGGCUCCGAAUCGAAGCCCCGGUGAACGGCGGCCGUAACUAUAACGGUCCUAAGGUAGCGAAAUUCCUUGUCGGGUAAGUUCCGACCCGCACGAAAGGUAUAACAAGUGGAGCGCUGUCUCAACGGGGGACCCGGCGAAAUUGAAUUAGUGGUGAAGAUGCCAUUUACCCGCAGUAGGACAAAAAGACCCCGUGGAGCUUUACUCUAACUUGGCACUGGAUGGGGGACAGUUGUGCGUAGGAUAGGUGGGAGCCUGAGAAACUGGGCUUGCGGGCUCGGUGGAGGCAACGUUGAAAUACCACCCUCAAGUGUUUUCGAUUCUAAUGGACUUCCGUAAGCCGGAAUCCAGACCAUGCCAGGCGGGGAGUUUGACUGGGGCGGUCGCCUCCUAAACGGUAACGGAGGCGCCCAAAGGUGCGCUCAGGCUGAAUGGAAACCAGCCGCAGAGUGUAAAGGCACAAGCGCGCUUGACUGUGAGAGUUACAACUCGAACAGAGACGAAAGUCGGGCUUAGUGAUCUCACGCAAUGUGUGUGGAAACGGCGUGACUUAUCGGACAAAAGCUACCCCGGGGAUAACAGGCUGGUGAAGCCCAAGCGUUCACAGCGACGGCUUCGCUCGGCACCUCGAUGUCGGCUCGUCGCAUCCUGGGGCUGGAAUAGGUCCCAAGGGUUGGGCUGUUCGCCCAUUAAAGCGGCACGCGAGCUGGGUUCAGAACGUCGUGAGACAGUUCGGU
RNAcentral lists this ribosomal RNA (2002 nucleotides) under sediment metagenome. RNAcentral describes it as "bacterial LSU rRNA". It matches the Rfam family "Bacterial large subunit ribosomal RNA", at positions 675 to 2635 of the family's 2925-position model. The record is from RNAcentral.